This 463-nucleotide unclassified non-coding RNA is filed under the name Hevea brasiliensis (rubber tree). Lineage: Eukaryota; Viridiplantae; Streptophyta; Magnoliopsida; Malpighiales; Euphorbiaceae. The record is from RNAcentral.
AGAAGAUCAGAACUUGGGAAAAUAUAGAUUACGUAUCCAAGAAAUGCAAGCACAAAUUCAAAUAGAAGGAGGAGAAAUAAAUAUCCUCCAAAUACCAAGGGAGGAAAAUCGUGAAACUAAUGAUCUGGCUAAAGCACUUCUCACAACGGAUCCCUCUAGAAGAAAUAACAAUGCCAACAGUGGACAGAGAGGAAGAAGCUUUUCCAAUUGAAGUAGGAGAAACAUGGAUGAUGCCAAUCUUUUACUACUUUGACCUAGACACACUUCUACAAGAUUAACUUAAAGCCAAAAAGAUAGUACAAAGGUCAGUAAUAUAAAACAUAUUUGACGGAUGGCUACACAGACGGUCUUAUCUCCAACCAUGGCUAAAUGCAUCAGCAGAUAAGACAUUUUGUUAGUUCUGCAUGAGAUCCAUGAAGGAUUAUGCUGCACCCAUGAAAGAGUAAGAACGAUUGCUAAGAAA